This 206-nucleotide ribosomal RNA is filed under the name uncultured Synergistaceae bacterium. Its description in RNAcentral is "partial 16S ribosomal RNA". It matches the Rfam family "Bacterial small subunit ribosomal RNA", at positions 1179 to 1382 of the family's 1533-position model. Lineage: Bacteria; Thermotogati; Synergistota; Synergistia; Synergistales; Synergistaceae. The record is from RNAcentral.
AUGACGUCAAGUCAUCAUGGCCCUUAUGUCCAGGGCGACACACGUGCUACAAUGGCCGGCACAACGGGAAGCGAGUUCGCGAGGACAAGCGGAUCCCUUAAAGACCGGUCGCAGUUCGGAUUGAAGUCUGCAACUCGACUUCAUGAAGCUGGAAUCGCUAGUAAUCGUGGAUCAGCCAAGCCGCGGUGAAUACGUUCCCGGGCCUU